Molecule: unclassified non-coding RNA, 331 nt
Filed under: uncultured fungus
Lineage: Eukaryota; Fungi
Description: sequence contains ITS1
Rfam family: 5.8S ribosomal RNA (bases 1-105)
Source: RNAcentral
GAAAUGCGAUACUUGGUGUGAAUUGCAGAAUCCCGUGAAUCAUCGAAUCUUUGAACGCAUAUUGCGGUCGAGGCUUCGGCCGAGACCAUGUCUGCCUCAGCGUCGGUGUGAACCCUCACCCCCCCUCACGGGCGGAGUGGACCUGGCCUCCCCGACCCCCCGCGGUCGGGCUGGCUGAAAUUCGGAGGCUCCCGCUCGGGCCCGUAUGGCAGCAGCAAGGUAGGUAGUGAACUCUACUCCGGCUGGAUGCUUUGGGCGCGCGGCACGAGCCCGCAGGAAAGCUUCUCACCCUUUCGACCUGAGAUCAGGCAAGGCUACCCGCUGAACUUAA